AUCAACAAUCAUGACAGUAAUGCUGCUCUCCUUCUAAACAGGGCAUUUCAUAAGUUUGAAUUUGACGAUGUACGAAAACUUGCUGCUGAGCUUUGUGGUCGCAUUCACCCCCAAGUUCUAUUUCCAAUUCUUUGCACCCAGUUAGAGCAUGCAGCAGUUCUCAGGAUAU
Carya illinoinensis is the source of this 169-nucleotide long non-coding RNA. RefSeq lists it as uncharacterized. Lineage: Eukaryota; Viridiplantae; Streptophyta; Magnoliopsida; Fagales; Juglandaceae. The record is from RefSeq and is a predicted model, not a curated record. The transcript is spliced from 3 exons.